UACGUAGGGUGCAAGCGUUGUCCGGAAUUAUUGGGCGUAAAGAGCUCGUAGGCGGUGUGUCGCGUCUGCUGUGAAAACUCAGGGCUCAACUCUGAGCUUGCAGUGGGUACGGGCACACUUGAGUACUGCAGGGGAGACUGGAAUUCCUGGUGUAGCGGUGGAAUGCGCAGAUAUCAGGAGGAACACCGGUGGCGAAGGCGGCGAUCUGGGUCGAUACUGACGUGAGGUGCGAAAGCGUGGGGAGCAAACAGG
RNAcentral lists this ribosomal RNA (252 nucleotides) under uncultured bacterium. RNAcentral describes it as "partial 16S ribosomal RNA". It matches the Rfam family "Bacterial small subunit ribosomal RNA", at positions 524 to 776 of the family's 1533-position model. The record is from RNAcentral.